This 547-nucleotide long non-coding RNA is filed under the name Phoenix dactylifera (date palm). RNAcentral's name for it is "long non-coding RNA (PDAC_LNC022010)". The record is from RNAcentral. Lineage: Eukaryota; Viridiplantae; Streptophyta; Magnoliopsida; Arecales; Arecaceae.
AAGCUGUUGCUGGAAAUUGGACCCGAGGGCGGUCGUCCGUCGAGGAGAGGGAGCGGUCGGUGGGCGCAGGAGAAUGGUGGUCCGUCGGCAGGCGGCGUCCUCCGUCAGGGUGCCUGCAGAAAAGCCGGUGGCCGGGUUUUCCGGCACCGGCCCUCCGAUGCUUAAGUCAGAGGGGGGCAAUCAGUGUUCAAAGGAGAAAGAAGACAGACAGUAUAUUUUUAGUUUUCUGUGUCCCCCCCCCCAUUGAGAAACGAGGGUUCUCUUUUAUAGGGGGGUCGGUGUACCUGUGAUGUGAUGGGGCGAGGCCGUCGUAUGGCUCAGCAUGUUGCUUGGACUGGCAAACGAUCGGGCGAAUCAUUACAUUAAUGUCGGAAAUGAGGCCGUCGUACGACCCGAGCUGGCACGUGAUCAAGUGAAUUAUUGCAUUGGUGUCGGAGGUGAGGCCGAGAUCAGAGACUUGUCACGGUUGAUUGGACUCCGUUGAGCUGAUUUGCCGUGGAGAGCCAUGGGUCCGUAGACAAUAGGAGCCAUGCGCAUUAAUUGUUGA